GGAUGAACGCUGGCGGCGUGCCUAAUACAUGCAAGUCGAACGAGUUCUGAUUAUUGAAAGGUGCUUGCAUCUUGAUUUAAUUUUGAACGAGUGGCGGACGGGUGAGUAACACGUGAGUAACCUGCCCUUAAGUGGGGGAUAACAUUUGGAAACAGAUGCUAAUACCGCAUAAAUCCAAAAACCGCAUGGUUCUUGGCUGAAAGAUGGCGUAAGCUAUCGCUUUUGGAUGGACCCGCGGCGUAUUAGCUAGUUGGUGAGGUAACGGCUCACCAAGGCAAUGAUACGUAGCCGAACUGAGAGGUUGAUCGGCCACAUUGGGACUGAGACACGGCCCAAACUCCUACGGGAGGCAGCAGUAGGGAAUCUUCCACAAUGGACGCAAGUCUGAUGGAGCAACGCCGCGUGAGUGAAGAAGGCUUUCGGGUCGUAAAACUCUGUUGUUGGAGAAGAAUGGUCGGCAGAGUAACUGUUGUCGGCGUGACGGUAUCCAACCAGAAAGCCACGGCUAACUACGUGCCAGCAGCCGCGGUAAUACGUAGGUGGCAAGCGUUAUCCGGAUUUAUUGGGCGUAAAGCGAGCGCAGGCGGUUUUUUAAGUCUGAUGUGAAAGCCCUCGGCUUAACCGAGGAAGUGCAUCGGAAACUGGGAAACUUGAGUGCAGAAGAGGACAGUGGAACUCCAUGUGUAGCGGUGAAAUGCGUAGAUAUAUGGAAGAACACCAGUGGCGAAGGCGGCUGUCUGGUCUGUAACUGACGCUGAGGCUCGAAAGCAUGGGUAGCGAACAGGAUUAGAUACCCUGGUAGUCCAUGCCGUAAACGAUGAAUGCUAGGUGUUGGAGGGUUUCCGCCCUUCAGUGCCGCAGCUAACGCAUUAAGCAUUCCGCCUGGGGAGUACGACCGCAAGGUUGAAACUCAAAGGAAUUGACGGGGGCCCGCACAAGCGGUGGAGCAUGUGGUUUAAUUCGAAGCAACGCGAAGAACCUUACCAGGUCUUGACAUCUUUUGAUCACCUGAGAGAUCAGGUUUCCCCUCCGGGGGCAAAAUGACAGGUGGUGCAUGGUUGUCGUCAGCUCGUGUCGCGAGAUGUUGGGUUAAGUCCCGCAACGAGCGCAACCCUUAUGACUAGUUGCCAGCAUUUAGUUGGGCACUCUAGUAAGACUGCCGGUGACAAACCGGAGGAAGGUGGGGAUGACGUCAAAUCAUCAUGCCCCUUAUGACCUGGGCUACACACGUGCUACAAUGGAUGGUACAACGAGUUGCGAGACCGCGAGGUCAAGCUAAUCUCUUAAAGCCAUUCUCAGUUCGGACUGUAGGCUGCAACUCGCCUACACGAAGUCGGAAUCGCUAGUAAUCGCGGAUCAGCACGCCGCGGUGAAUACGUUCCCGGGCCUUGUACACACCGCCCGUCACACCAUGAGAGUUUGUAACACCCGAAGCCGGUGGCGUAACCCUUUUAGGGAGCGAGCCGUCUAAGGUGGGACAAAUGAUUAGGGUGAA
This 1495-nucleotide ribosomal RNA is filed under the name uncultured organism. Its description in RNAcentral is "SSU rRNA". It matches the Rfam family "Bacterial small subunit ribosomal RNA". The record is from RNAcentral.